Pseudonaja textilis is the source of this 2661-nucleotide non-coding RNA. Lineage: Eukaryota; Metazoa; Chordata; Lepidosauria; Squamata; Elapidae. The record is from RefSeq and is a predicted model, not a curated record.
UUCAAUAAUGAACUGAAACAAAUCCAAAUUAAUUUUUUUAAACUUUUUGCAGAAGAAAAACAGCUGAGAAUGAUUUUAAGACAGCAAGAGUUCUAUACAUUUUAAUACCAGUCACUUCCACAAUUCCAGAAAAAGAUUUAAAAUGUAUUUAUUUCUACAGAAUAAGGGUCCCUCCUCAAGGAAACUUCAUAAGAAAUAAGCUGAAUCAGAAAACUAUUCUGAGCCUCUGAAGUAUCAGGCUAAGACUCAUCCUGAUCUAAACAGUUUCCGGCAUUUUAAAAAAUAUAAAGGAAAAAAAACAACUUUCUCUGUAUCGUAUUGCCACUUUCUCAUUUCUACUCCUUUAGUCAUCUUAUAAUUUAACUCCUACAAAAUUAAACAGAAAUGAAGAAUACAAUAGACAAACAUCUAUCAAGUCCACAGAUAUCUAGUGUUGAAAUAUAAUCCAAAAAGUAGGGCUUACAUCUAUAUGGACUGUAAAAGUGUCACAUCUGAGCAAGGAAGCAUUUUUUUUCCUGUAUUAUUUAAGAAUACUUUAAUUUCAUUUCUCCUUUCCUUGUCUAGAAUUAUCCAACUCAAGAAUCUUUCUGUAGACAAUCCUGAAGCCUUCCACAAAUGGAGAGGCAGAAAUCUCACCCCCCCCCCCUUUAUAAGCAAAAAGACCCAGCUGUGGAAUCUAUGCAUCCUGCCACUGCCCUGUCAGUAUGACUGAAGGCAGAUGAAACUCCAGGGAUGGGGGUGGGGUGGGGGGGAACUGUUUUCGUUUGGCUCAGAUACCAGCCCACAGCAGCAUUUAAAUGAUUGCUGGAUAAUGAAUCCAAUCAGGCUGUCAAGUGGGAAAGGGGAGAGGAAUCAAAUAAGAUAAUUUGUUUGGAUAAUUUGCCCUGAACGAGUCCAUAUUAAGUUUUAAUUCAUAUCCAAUCAUGGCCAGCAUUUUGGAAGGAAGAAGUGAGAGAGAGAGAGAAAAAAAACAGAAUCCCUUCUGCUCCAACUAUUUGUGCAUUUCUUAAGACAAUUUGAACCUCAUUGAAAUCUCUGUACUUUCCCUUUUAAAGGCAUGCGUCAGCCUUUGAAAUCUCCAAAGAACAAGGCUGAGUAUAAACUCCCUCUGUUUUUGAUUAAAUCUUUUCUGACAGUAGAGAAGAAGAAUGUGGAGUAACACAUGGCAAGCUAGGUAGAUUCCAGCUUCAAAGGCCAUGCUGUUAGUUGAAAGAAACAGCUAGGAUAUAGGAAACAGGGAGUGGGGGGUAGACCGUAGGGCCAUCCUGAGCAUGUAACAGCAUACUAGUUGAGAAAUGCAAUUUGGUUUACAGCCUUUUUUAACAAAAGCAUUCUUCCUAAAUUAGGAUAACAAAAGAGGCCCACAGCCUAAUGGACACUCCCUUUUCCCUAAUUCUAAUUUCAACUCUUGUACUAUCAAUUUGGGAUUUUUCACAUAAGUAGAUGAUCAUUCAUUAAGAGAGGAGUGGGAUACAGAAUUGCCUUAAAGUGGUGCCAACCACAGCAUGACUGAUGAGAAAGUGUGCUGGAAAAUUCAUACUGAGGCACCACCACUAAGAAGGCCCUGCUCCUGAUAUCCAUCAAUAUAGGGACUCCUCUAUAUUUAGAGACACAUCUAAUAGGGAGAGACCACUGAGGCUUAACUUCCUUUUUCAUUUUAAGUGGUAAAAGAACGUACUAACAGAAAACCUGGCACACCUCACUAAAACAGGCAGUUCAUUGUUUUCUGUUCCGGCAAUAUAUGUAGGCAUCCAGCAUUUUCUUGGGAGUUGGAUGAUCUUAACAAAUCCAACAAAUAAAUGAAUCCUAACUGUGACAUGUUUACAUUUUCAAAAUGUCACCAGCCUCUCAAGGAGGUAUUUUGCAAGUUCAUCUUUGAGUAAUAUUUUGGCAACAAACCAGAGAAGACACCUCUACGCCUAUCCUUAAGGAGGGUUAUUUCGUACAUUAAAAACAGCUUGACAUAUUGAUCCCCUGGUACAAGAGAAGCAGGUUGGGGACAGAGCCUCCUAAAGAAAAUCUAUCCAGGGGCCACUAAGAGUUUGACCCUGGCUUAGGGCUUAAUGGCACAUAAUCAAUCAAGCUUAUACAACUCUCGGCCAAGUCCCACAGAAGAAUCUACAAGAGGCAAACCCAUUGUAGCUGGGCCUCCCAGACAUUUUUCGGUUGACAACACAGAUUUAUUGGCAACAGAAUCCCGACAUCUGCGUUUUCAAAGUGCUCUCAUGGCCUGAGAUAAUUCAUGGCGGAGCCCAAGGUCUCACUGACUCCCAACGAGCUUGCUGCGGGAGUAAAUCAGCAGCCAGGAAGGGAAACUUGGGCCCCAGCCGAGAAAAACAAGAGCAGCAGAGAAAACAGUGGGCCGACAGCGACAGCCAAAUAGGCUAGGAGUCCUUCCAUCUGGAAACACCUUUGUUGCCAACUCUUCAGGUGAGACUACAGACCAUGACAAGAUGUGGUUUCAAUAUCGCACAUGAAAUAAACUGAGGAGCCUGCAUAUCAGACGGAGGCAUCAUAAGCACUUUCCUUGCACUGGGUUCCUCCUCAAGUGACACGUGUGGUUUUGUGCAAAUGGAAUCUUUGUUUGCAUCACUGUUGCAGCAGGAAGAAGCCCGGAACUGACUUUCAGCAGUAGGAAGGUGGGUUCUGGCCAAUGGAAAG